Molecule: long non-coding RNA, 1237 nt
Filed under: Homo sapiens (human)
Lineage: Eukaryota; Metazoa; Chordata; Mammalia; Primates; Hominidae
Description: HSALNT0263937
Source: RNAcentral
GGAGGGACCCAGAGGAAGGCAAUUGAAUCAUGGGGGCCAGUCUUUCCCAUGCUGUUCUCCUGAUAGUGAAUAAGUCUCACAAGAUCUGAUGAGUUUAUCAGGGGUUUCCGCUUUUGCUUCUUCCUCAUUGUCUUUCGCUGCCACCAUGUAAGAAGAGUCUUUUGCCUCCCGUCAUGAUUCUGAGGGCUCCCCAACUACAUAGAACUAUAUUUCUUCAAAGAACAAAAAAAAACCAGUAUGAAGCAUAUGAAACUUCAAGCAGAACAAACUUGGUUUGUCUCCUUCCAGAGAAAAGGUACUGAAGUUCCCAUACCUGUAGAGCUGCAAAGAUCAACAUUUCUUCCUCUGUGCAAUCAAUUUCUUCUAAGAGAAUGGCCCACCUGGCUUGCUCAUAGAGUUGGUUUAUUCGGACAGCAUCAUACUAGAGACAAAAACAGAGGUGUGUGUGUAAUGAGGUAUAUUUAUAUCCCACAAUACAAAGAUUCUGAAACAACUGAGGCCAUUCUCUGUUAAUCAGAUGCAGCAAACUUCAGCUCAGGGUGUUUCCCCGCACAAGCUCUCUCUUUGCCUGCUGCCAUCCAUGUAAGACGUGACUUGCUCCUCCUUGCCUUCCUCCAUGAUUGUGAGGCCUCCCCAGCCAUGUGGAACUGUAAGUCCAUUAAACUUCUUUCUUUUGUAAAUUGCCCAGUCUCAGAUAUGUCUUUAUCAGCAGCAUGAAAAUGAACUAAUAGACUUCCCUUCCUUGCUCCCUCUCCCUUUCCUUUUUCCAGUUUUUUAAACAACCAACAAAGGUCCUGCUUCCUUUUUUCUUUAUAGAUCACAGAUCUUGAACGUCUUUCUUUUACACAUUGCCCAUCAGCUCAUUUUAUCCCUGUGGUGACACCCUCAUGCCCUGCCCAUUUCUUCUUGGUCCUCACCAUUUCAGCACACCUGGCUUCUGGCGGAAUCUAGACCAUGCAUCUUUCUGCCAGAGGCUUUGCUCUGAUGGCUCACCAGGGUCUGCACUGCAACAGCCCACAUAUUCCGGGAAUUAAUGCUCCCCAAGAGCAACCUUCAGUGACUAUCCAGGGUGCUGCAUAAACAUCCUUACCCUGAGGCUGUGUCUACACUGUCUCCCAGGGGUCACCAGCUGCUGAAGUGUAACCUGAUUGGUGACACUCUUCUCUUUUCAGUCUUACUUCCCUGUCCCCAACAGUAUUUCCUGGCAUCACCUCCCAAAUAAACUAUUUGUACUUGA